AAAGCGAACAGGAAGAAGGAAAUACGAGUAUGUCCACCAGAAGUGAAGCUCAAGAACUUAGAAGGGUGUCUGUGGGAAGGCCUUUACGCCGAGCAGUGGAGAAGGUCCAAUCCUACAAGGAAAUGAAGCUUAAUGUGAAGAUGCGCAGAGAAGUGUGAGUGAGUUCGUUCUCUUAGCAUCGUUCUAAUAAGCUUUGAGUUGCAUCUAAUUUCUGUGUUACCACAACGCUGUAUAAUAUAUGUUGUGCCUUUUUCUUUUUCUUGACAUGCCUAACCCAAUGCAUCUACCAUGUAUGACUGUUGGAAAUGCCUGAAUUCCAAGUAGUUUUGUAAGAUUUUUGAUCCAUUUGCUGGUCGAAUGUGGAAUAUUUCUGUGGGAAUUUUCAUAAGAGAAUUCGCCUCUAGUUCACACAACUCUUAUCAAUUCCCAAUCUUUUUAAUUCUGUUAUUUGAGUUUCGAGAUCUAUUUUUGUCUUUUACUUUUCAAUGUACUCUUAACUUAAUAAUGGAGGGGGGGGGGGGGCAAACCCCGAAUUUUACCUCAUUAUCUAAUUUAUCUUUGAUGGACUUCACCUGAAUUCCAUUGGCUGAGCUUAACUGAAUUCUAAUAAAACCCAAGUAAAAUUCAAUAGAUGGUUCGAUCCUCACCCUAGAUAUAGAGUAGCUUUAAAAUUCGUGGCCAACGUUUACCUCUUAAUAGAUUUACAAAAUGCGAAUGAUUAGUUAUUGAGCUUGCUUCGGUAAAUAUAUUGAGAAAAAGAAAAAAUAGAGUAUAAUAUUUGUUGAAGGUGUCUAACAUAAAUAUGCUCAAAAUUCUUAAAAAUGUUUUUUUUUCUUAAUGUUUUGAUGAAUCUAUUUCAAUGCCUAUAUAUCAUAUAUAUUGAAUUGUUUUCAGAUUUUUUUUCCACCUUUUAUUAAUUGGUGACUUGACAUUUUAAGGAAAAAAAACAUAAAUUCUGCCGCAUUUUUCUUUCAUAUAAAUCAAAAUUAAAAAAUAAUUAAUAAAAUAAGUCAAAUGGUAAUUUAUUUUCUAAAAGUAAUUUAAAAAUAAAAAAUCGUCUCUAAAAAUAAAACAUAUGAAGACGCAAAUAGUAGGCGAUUUGAGAACCUACUCUCAUCGUCUACUCUAAUUGCUAUCUUCAUAUGUUGCCGACUUUUGCCAAUGAAUUUAUUUUCUUACACUUUUAAUUGAUAAAUAAAUAAUAAUUUGACAUAUUUAUUAAUUAUUUUUGAGUUUUGAUGUAUAUGAAAAGUUUUCAUCUUACUAUUUUUUAUUAAAAUAAUAUAAUUUUAUUCCACAAAAAACAUAUAAUAUAAUCUUAUUCAAAGCUAUAUCAAGAAAAAAUGGUUAAAAUCAACUAAAACCUGUUGGUUAUUUGUGACCUGCAUAGGCAUACUUCUAGCUAGACCUGUCCAUAGGCCGGGCGGCCCGGCUGGCCCGACGGCCCGCCUGAAAUAUGGAAGGGUUCGGGUAAAAAUAUAGGCUCGAAAUAUGUGUUUGGACAAAAAUUUAGGCUCGUUUAGAAAACGGGCCGGGCCUCGGGCAAAAUUUUUUUGAUCCGGACUCGGCCCGAAAAAUAUUAAAUAUAUAUAUUUUUAUUUUAAAAAUAUAACAGCUUUUAUUUUAAGUUUGAUUUACUUUCCUCUUAAUGCUGCUGUCAGUGCUGUGCCUUCCUUUUUUCCCCAUUUCCAAAAUCGACAGACACCCAAAAUCCAUUGUGCUGUCUCCUGUGCCUUCCUCCCUUUUUUUUCCCAUUUCCAAAAUCGACGGUCUCUUCCAGUACCGUUUGCUCAUCUUCUUCGUUUGGUACAGGAGUUUGGUACAGGUACGGGUUUGCUCAUCUUCUUCGUUUUCCUCGUUUUCAUUCUCUGUGACUGUAAGAUACUUCAUUUCUUUUGAUUAUUCUUCUUCAGGUUACUCUUUUAUUUCUUUUAUCAAUUACCCUUCUUCUUUGCCUGCACAUUCAAUUAAGCGCAACUCUUUUACUCUUUCAAAAUCUGAGACAUUGAUUUUUUUUCUAGAGAUUGUGUUCUUAGGUGUUCUGAAUCAAUGGUUAGGAUUAUGUUACAAAGUUGAAACAUUAGAUAAAUAUUUAUUAAAAACAAUUGUUCUUUCAAUGAAUUUAUGCAUCAAAACAGCAAUAACAUAAAUACCAAAUGUAAAAUAAAAUGUAUUAAAGCAUCAAAAAGCUUACCUGAAAUGCAGACCGAAAGCUCAAAAAAUCAAUAAACAUAUGAACAAAGAAGAGAAGAAGAUGAAGGCACACAGUUUAGCAGGCAGGACAAGAUUAGUCUAC
This 2296-nucleotide long non-coding RNA is filed under the name Gossypium raimondii (Peruvian cotton). RNAcentral's name for it is "long non-coding RNA (GRAI_LNC008699)". Lineage: Eukaryota; Viridiplantae; Streptophyta; Magnoliopsida; Malvales; Malvaceae. The record is from RNAcentral.